RNAcentral lists this ribosomal RNA (395 nucleotides) under uncultured bacterium. RNAcentral's name for it is "bacterial SSU rRNA". It matches the Rfam family "Bacterial small subunit ribosomal RNA", at positions 64 to 507 of the family's 1533-position model. The record is from RNAcentral.
GAACGCCCCGCAAGGGGAGUGGCGCACGGGUGAGUAACGCGUGGGAACCUGCCCUGGAGUUUGGGAUAACCCGGCGAAAGCCGGGCUAAUACCGGAUACGCCCUAAGGGGGAAAGAUUUAUCGCUCUAGGAGGGGCCCGCGUCGGAUUAGCUAGUUGGUAGGGUAACGGCCUACCAAGACGAUGAUUGGUAUCCGGCCUGAGAGGGCGCACGGACACACUGGAACUGAAACACGGUCCAGACUCCUACGGGAGGCAGCAGUGGGGAAUUUUGCGCAAUGGGGGAAACCCUGACGCAGCAACGCCGCGUGGAGGAUGAAGUCCUUCGGGACGUAAACUCCUUUCGAUCGGGACGAUUAUGACGGUACCGGAAGAAGAAGCCCCGGCUAACUUCGUG